AGGACGAAGCCAUGCAUGCCCGCUCACCCGGGACGCGGCGGACGGCUCAGGACAACGGUUGCACCCCCCGCGGCGGUCCCUGCUAGCCGGACACCGCUGGCAACCCGGCGCCAAGACGUGCGCGCAAGGGCGGGCGCCCGCGGGCGAGCAGCGUGACGCAGCGACGGCCCGCCCGGGCUUCCGGGGCAUCACCCGGUCGGCGCGGUCGCGGCGCGCCGAGGGCCCGACGCCUGGCGGAGAAUCAGGGUUCGAC
Molecule: ribosomal RNA, 253 nt
Filed under: Giardia duodenalis
Lineage: Eukaryota; Fornicata; Diplomonadida; Hexamitidae
Description: Giardia intestinalis partial small subunit ribosomal RNA
Source: RNAcentral